AGGGACUGUGGUGUGUGUAUAUGGGUUUAGAGUUUAAACCCAUAUACACACAUCACAGCCCCUGG
Pelobates cultripes (western spadefoot toad) is the source of this 65-nucleotide non-coding RNA. The record is from the annotation of a GenBank genome assembly. Lineage: Eukaryota; Metazoa; Chordata; Amphibia; Anura; Pelobatidae.